UGGCUCCACAGAAAUCACAUUUAGUUUCUCUUCUCUUUUUUGUGCUUCUUCUGCUUUUAUUUCUCUCCUUUCAAGUUGGAUUUACAGAAGCCAGACGCCGUUACCCACGCCCUCCACCUCCCCAUUGUUAUUAUGUACCUCCUUCGACAUCUUGCAGAGGAGGAGGAGGCAAGUGAACAAAAUGCAUUUCUAUUAUGAAGAAACAAUUUAAUAUAUAUAUAUAUUUGCUCAAGUUUUAUGAUUGUAUGUUUAAUUAAAUAAAUGGUGUCUUUUACAUCAGUUUGAAUUGGCUGUGAUAUAUAUAUAACUAGUCUCAAGCUUGGUUCAAAUUUUCUUGUAGUGUAUAUGCUUAGAAUGUGUUACAGAUAACACGACUUAAUAUAUAGUCGCAAAAGACCUUGAUAGUUAUGAUUAAUGGUGAUUCAAAUAGA
Long non-coding RNA from Capsella rubella, 431 nucleotides. RefSeq lists it as uncharacterized. Lineage: Eukaryota; Viridiplantae; Streptophyta; Magnoliopsida; Brassicales; Brassicaceae. The record is from RefSeq and is a predicted model, not a curated record. The transcript is spliced from 2 exons.